GACUGCAACAGGAUCUUCAGCCAGAAUUAUCACGUCAUCCUGACUGAGUCACCUCUCCUGAAAAGUCCAUGUUUUAGGCAUCAAGCAUUGCUAUUUCCCUGGGGAGAGCAUUCCACAGUCUAUUACAUUUCAUUGAGCAAGCUUUUGCCUUCUGUGAAGUUCAAAUGUUCAAACUGGAUCAUCCCAGAUAACUCCCUGAACCAACACUACAUAUCAGCAAAGUGUAAUGCUGCCUUAUUUCUCCAGAG
Molecule: long non-coding RNA, 248 nt
Filed under: Cyanistes caeruleus (blue tit)
Lineage: Eukaryota; Metazoa; Chordata; Aves; Passeriformes; Paridae
Description: lncRNA (ENSCCEG00000006781.1)
Source: RNAcentral